RNAcentral lists this non-coding RNA (30 nucleotides) under Rattus norvegicus (Norway rat). Lineage: Eukaryota; Metazoa; Chordata; Mammalia; Rodentia; Muridae. The record is from RNAcentral.
UAAAAAUCUCUUGAUUGCGAUUGCCUUGCC